Molecule: non-coding RNA, 790 nt
Organism: Camelina sativa (false flax)
Lineage: Eukaryota; Viridiplantae; Streptophyta; Magnoliopsida; Brassicales; Brassicaceae
Source: RefSeq, a predicted model, not a curated record
GCUUGACCAAACAGCCGAGGUAGUUGGAGAUGGUGCUGUGAAGUAAGUGCUUAUUCUAUGCAAAUGAUGCAUCCUUAUGAAAGUACUAUUUUUUUUCUGAAAAAUGUUUGUAAUGAUAGCGAAGGCAGCACCAAUGGGUUGGAUGUUCUUUAAGAUGGUUCAGAUAGUUAGUUUUUUUUUAUAUUCUUAUGGUUGUUCAUAUGCUCAAUGCUAAGGUAACUGACACCAUCUAGUUCUUUACAUAUAAAGAAAUGCGCGCUUACUGAUAAGAUGUCAUGAGCAGGGAAACACAGCUGUUUUACCUUCUCUACACCCAUGCUCGGAUCUGUUCAAUCAUAACAAAGUCUGGCAAAGCCAUUAAGACAGGAAAUCUAGUGGUGGAUCAUGCAGAUGAAAGAGCACUAGGACUUCACUUGCUACAAUUUGCUGAGGUAGUUAGGCAUUAAUAUUGAUUCAGUCAAUAGCGCUGUUUUGGUUUUUCUUUAAUGAAAAAGAUCAUAUACAAAUACUAUUAGAUCAAUGCUGUGAAUGAUUUUGCAGGUAUAUUUUCAAACAUUCUAUUACUAAGGAUAUUGAUUCUUUAUGCAUAAAUCAAACUAUGAUGGUCUGAUUCUUAACUUAAACAAAUGGUCCAUUAUAAAAAUUUGUCAGGUUACUGGAUCGGAACAAGAGACAAGCCGUCUCUUCUUACUAUGUGAAGCAACAUCAUAGUUAUGUGGAACUGCUUCCACCUUCUCGGAAUCACUCCUGUUUACAAGCUUUUGAUACAUACAACCAAACGACCCCCAAA